This 363-nucleotide ribosomal RNA is filed under the name uncultured bacterium. RNAcentral describes it as "bacterial SSU rRNA". It matches the Rfam family "Bacterial small subunit ribosomal RNA", at positions 9 to 346 of the family's 1533-position model. The record is from RNAcentral.
GAGUUUGAUCGUGGCUCAGGAUGAACGCUGGCGGCGUGCUUAACACAUGCAAGUCGAGCGAAGCACUUUACUUUGAAUUCUUCGGAAUGAAGAGUGAUUUGACUGAGCGGCGGACGGGUGAGUAACACGUGGGUAACCUGCCCAAAAGAGGGGGAUAACACUUGGAAACAGGUGCUAAUACCGCAUAACCAUGAUGACCGCAUGGUCAUUAUGUAAAAGAUGGUUUCGGCUAUCACUUUUGGAUGGACCCGCGGCGUAUUAACUUGUUGGUGGGUAACGGCCUACCAAGGUGAUGAUACGUAGCCGAACUGAGAGGUUGAUCGGCCACAUUGGGACUGAGACACGGCCCAAACUCCUACGGGA